GCGUGAGUGAAGAAGGCCUUAGGGUUGUAAAGCUCUUUCAGCAGGGAAGAUGAUGACGGUACCUGCUAAAGAAGCUCCGGCUAACUCCGUGCCAGCAGCCGCGGUAAUACGGAGGGAGCUAGCGUUGUUCGGAAUUACUGGGCGUAAAGGGCGCGUAGGCGGUUUGGAGAGUUAGGCGUGAAAGCCCCGGGCUCAACCCGGGAACUGCGUUUAAUACUUCCAGACUUGAGUCCGAGAGAGGGUGGUGGAAUUCCCAGUGUAGAGGUGAAAUUCGU
RNAcentral lists this ribosomal RNA (275 nucleotides) under uncultured bacterium. Its description in RNAcentral is "partial 16S ribosomal RNA". It matches the Rfam family "Bacterial small subunit ribosomal RNA", at positions 399 to 691 of the family's 1533-position model. The record is from RNAcentral.